This 253-nucleotide ribosomal RNA is filed under the name uncultured bacterium. RNAcentral describes it as "partial 16S ribosomal RNA". It matches the Rfam family "Bacterial small subunit ribosomal RNA", at positions 524 to 776 of the family's 1533-position model. The record is from RNAcentral.
UACGAAGGGGGCUAGCGUUGCUCGGAAUUACUGGGCGUAAAGCGCACGUAGGCGGCUUCUUAAGUCGGUGGUGAAAUCCUGGAGCUCAACUCCAGAACUGCCUUUGAGACUGUAUCACUUGAACACGGGAGAGGUGAGUGGAAUUCCGAGUGUAGAGGUGAAAUUCGUAGAUAUUCGGAAGAACACCAGUGGCGAAGGCGGCUCACUGGACCGUUGUUGACGCUGAGGUGCGAAAGCGUGGGGAGCAAACAGG